CCCGCACAAGCGGUAGAGCAUGUGGUUUAAUUCGAAGCAACGCGAAGAACCUUACCAGGUCUUGACAUCCCGAUGCUAUUUCUAGAGAUAGAAAGUUACUUCGGUACAUCGGUGACAGGUGGUGCAUGGUUGUCGUCAGCUCGUGUCGUGAGAUGUUGGGUUAAGUCCCGCAACGAGCGCAACCCCUAUUGUUAGUUGCCAUCAUUCAGUUGGGCACUCUAGCGAGACUGCCGGUAAUAAACCGGAGGAAGGUGGGGAUGACGUCAAAUCAUCAUGCCCCUUAUGACCUGGGCUACACACGUGCUACAAUGGUUGGUACAACGAGUUGCGAGUCGGUGACGGCGAGCUAAUCUCUUAAAGCCAAUCUCAGUUCGGAUUGUAGGCUGCAACUCGCCUACAUGAAGUCGGAAUCGCUAGUAAUCGUGGAUCAGAAUGUCACGGUGAAUACGUUCCCGGGUCUU
Molecule: ribosomal RNA, 461 nt
Filed under: uncultured Streptococcus sp.
Lineage: Bacteria; Bacillati; Bacillota; Bacilli; Lactobacillales; Streptococcaceae
Description: bacterial SSU rRNA
Rfam family: Bacterial small subunit ribosomal RNA
Source: RNAcentral